RNAcentral lists this ribosomal RNA (641 nucleotides) under uncultured soil bacterium. Its description in RNAcentral is "bacterial SSU rRNA". It matches the Rfam family "Bacterial small subunit ribosomal RNA", at positions 161 to 774 of the family's 1533-position model. The record is from RNAcentral.
UGCUAAUACCGCAUAACGCAGCGGCAUCUUCGGAUGACAGUUGUUAAAGCGGGGGAUCCGAAGCAAUUCGGACCUUGUGCCGGAAGAGAAGCUCGCGGCAGAUUAGGUAGUUGGUAGGGUAACGGCCUACCAAGCCUGCGAUCUGUAGCCGGCCUGAGAGGGCGGUCGGCCACACUGACACUGAACAUACGGGUCAGACUCCUACGGGAGGCAGCAGUCGGGAAUUUUGGGCAAUGGGCGCAAGCCUGACCCAGCAACGCCGCGUGAAGGACGAAGUUUUUCGGAAUGUAAACUUCACAAGACGGGGAAGAAUAAGUUAAGGCAAAUACCCUUGACGAUGACGGUACCCGUAGUAAGCUCCGGCUAACUCCGUGCCAGCAGCCGCGGUAAUACGGGGGGAGCAAGCGUUGUUCGGAUUUACUGGGCGUAAAGGGCGCGUAGGCGGUCGUCUAAGUCACUUGUGAAAUCUCCGGGCUCAACCCGGAGCGGCCAAGUGAUACUGGGCGACUAGAGUGCGGAAGGGGCAACCGGAAUUCUCGGUGUAGCGGUGAAAUGCGUAGAUAUCGAGAGGAACACCUGCGGCGAAGGCGGGUUGCUGGGCCGACACUGACGCUGAGGCGCGAAAGCCAGGGGAGCGAACG